This 427-nucleotide ribosomal RNA is filed under the name uncultured Chlamydiae bacterium. RNAcentral describes it as "bacterial SSU rRNA". It matches the Rfam family "Bacterial small subunit ribosomal RNA", at positions 958 to 1385 of the family's 1533-position model. Lineage: Bacteria; Pseudomonadati; Chlamydiota; Chlamydiia. The record is from RNAcentral.
AACGCGAAGAACCUUACCCAGGUUAGAAGUGCAGUGGACGAUACCAGAGAUGGUAUUUCCCGAAAGGGCUGCUGUAUAGGUGCUGCAUGGCUGUCGUCAGCUCGUGCCGUGAGGUGUUGGGUUAAGUCCCGCAACGAGCGCAACCCUUAUCAUUAGUUGCCAACACGCGAGGUGGGGACUCUAAUGAGACUGCCUAGGUUAACUAGGAGGAAGGUGAGGAUGACGUCAAGUCCGCAUGGCCUUUAUGUCUGGGGCUACACACGUGCUACAAUGGUCGGUACAAAGGGCAGCGAAAUCGCAAGAUGAAGCAAAUCUCAGAAAGCCGAUCUCAGUUCAGAUUGUAGUCUGCAACUCGACUACAUGAAGUUGGAAUUGCUAGUAAUGGCGGGUCAGCAACACCGCCGUGAAUACGUUCCCGGGCCUUGUA